This 398-nucleotide ribosomal RNA is filed under the name uncultured bacterium. RNAcentral's name for it is "bacterial SSU rRNA". It matches the Rfam family "Bacterial small subunit ribosomal RNA", at positions 30 to 421 of the family's 1533-position model. The record is from RNAcentral.
AGUGAACGCUGGCGGCAGGCCUAAUACAUGCAAGUCGAACGGCAGCACAGUGGAGCUUGCUCCAUGGGUGGCGAGUGGCGGACGGGGUGAGGAAUACAUGGGAAUCUGCCCAGUCGUGGGGGAUAACGUAGGGAAACUUACGCUAAUACCGCAUGCGCCCUUCGGGGGAAAGCCGGGGACCGUAAGGCCUGGCGCGAUUGGAUGAGCCCAUGUCGGAUUAGCUAGUUGGCGGGGUAACGGCCCACCAAGGCGACGAUCCGUAGCUGGUCUGAGAGGAUGAUCAGCCACACUGGAACUGAGACACGGUCCAGACUCCUACGGGAGGCAGCAGUAGGGAAUAUUGGACAAUGGGCGCAAGCCUGAUCCAGCCAUGCCGCGUGAGUGAAGAAGGCCUCGGG